CCUACGGGUGGCAGCAGUAGGGAAUAUUGCUCAAUGGGGGAAACCCUGAAGCAGCAACGCCGCGUGGAGGAUGAAGGUUUUCGGAUUGUAAACUCCUUUUGUUAGAGAAGAUAAUGACUGUAUCUAACGAAUAAGCACCGGCUAACUCCGUGCCAGCAGCCGCGGUAAUACGGAGGGUGCAAGCGUUACUCGGAAUCACUGGGCGUAAAGAGCGCGUUGGCGGGAUAGAAAGUCAGAUGUGAAAUCCUAGGGCUUAACCAUAGAAAUGCAUUUGAAACUGUUAUUCUAGAGUAUGGGAGAGGUAGGUGGAAUUCUUGGUGUAGGGGUAAAAUCCGUAGAGAUCAAGAGGAAUACUCAUUGCGAAGGCGACCUGCUAGAACAUAACUGACGCUGAUGCGCGAAAGCGUGGGGAGCAAACAGGAUUAGAUACCCGGGUAGUC
Molecule: ribosomal RNA, 440 nt
Filed under: uncultured bacterium
Lineage: Bacteria
Description: partial 16S ribosomal RNA
Rfam family: Bacterial small subunit ribosomal RNA
Source: RNAcentral